GAAAUUUCAAACAUACAAAUCAAGAAAGCUUCUGACUAUAAAGAUGAUCAUAUAAAAAAUGGAUUGGAGCAUGUACUUACAGUCAUGAUAGAUAAAGAUUACUAUGGAACGCAAUAUUUAAAUCAAAUGUUCAUUGUACCGGAACAUGCAGAUACUAAAACCUAUGACUCUCUAGAACAUUCCAUAAUGACAGAAAAAUAUAAAAUGCAACAGGAUAUUUUUAACAUAAUAG
This is a long non-coding RNA of Adelges cooleyi (spruce gall adelgid), 232 nucleotides long. RefSeq lists it as uncharacterized. Lineage: Eukaryota; Metazoa; Arthropoda; Insecta; Hemiptera; Adelgidae. The transcript has 6 exons. The record is from RefSeq and is a predicted model, not a curated record.